This 623-nucleotide ribosomal RNA is filed under the name Salmonella enterica. RNAcentral describes it as "partial 23S ribosomal RNA". It matches the Rfam family "Bacterial large subunit ribosomal RNA", at positions 1 to 655 of the family's 2925-position model. The record is from RNAcentral. Lineage: Bacteria; Pseudomonadati; Pseudomonadota; Gammaproteobacteria; Enterobacterales; Enterobacteriaceae. RNAcentral also lists the same sequence under 1 other name.
GGGUUGUGAGGUUAAGCGACUAAGCGUACACGGUGGAUGCCCUGGCAGUCAGAGGCGAUGAAGGGCGUGCUAAUCUGCGAUAAGCGCCGGUAAGGUGAUAUGAACCGUUAUAACCGGCGAUACCCGAAUGGGGAAACCCAGUGUGACUCGUCACACUAUCAUUAACUGAAUCCAUAGGUUAAUGAGGCGAACCGGGGGAACUGAAACAUCUAAGUACCCCGAGGAAAAGAAAUCAACCGAGAUUCCCCCAGUAGCGGCGAGCGAACGGGGAGGAGCCCAGAGCCUGAAUCAGCAUGUGUGUUAGUGGAAGCGUCUGGAAAGGCGCGCGAUACAGGGUGACAGCCCCGUACACAAAAGCGCAUGUGCUGUGAGCUCGAUGAGUAGGGCGGGACACGUGGUAUCCUGUCUGAAUAUGGGGGGACCAUCCUCCAAGGCUAAAUACUCCUGACUGACCGAUAGUGAACCAGUACCGUGAGGGAAAGGCGAAAAGAACCCCGGCGAGGGGAGUGAAAAAGAACCUGAAACCGUGUACGUACAAGCAGUGGGAGCACCCUUUGGGUGUGACUGCGUACCUUUUGUAUAAUGGGUCAGCGACUUAUAUUCUGUAGCAAGGUUAACCGAAU